Molecule: long non-coding RNA, 883 nt
Organism: Lutra lutra (Eurasian river otter)
Lineage: Eukaryota; Metazoa; Chordata; Mammalia; Carnivora; Mustelidae
Exons: 8
Source: RefSeq, a predicted model, not a curated record
CCCUUUCACCCAGGACCGCGCCCCUACGCAAGAGCGCCGUUUCCCUGGUGACGUGACGUGUCCGAAGGAGUGGGUAGCGCUUUCUGGGAGAGUGACGUGCGGCCGCCAUUUUGAGAGCUUUGGCUUGUGGGUGGUCUGACUGCUGCACUGGAGUGUAGUGUGACUCCAACCGCUCGCGAUCUCGCAAUUUCCAUUAACCACAUCCUCACUUUGGCCAUCACCACCCAGCACACCGACGGUCCUGGGUGCCUACCCCUACCAGUGGCAGCCUCAACACUAACAUAGAAUUGAAGAGCAGUUUCCUAAAGGCAUAUGAAGAAACAAGACUGCAUUGUACUCAUCAAUAGUGUAAUGGCACUUCUCCCUUCCAAAGGAUCUUAACAAGAUAACUAAAUGACAUAAAGGAGACUGAAAGGUGCAGAGAAGAAGGCAGACCAGCUAGGGAGGAACAACCCUGUGAUGAGUUCUCUUUUGAAUGUGUUGAGUUUGCCUUACCAGUUGGACAUCCAGAUAGCAUCUACAGGACUAGAGUAAAGAAGAAAGACUGUAACUUUGAUAUGCAACCAGAGUUUGUUUCUACAUGAUUCUGGACAACUGUGUAUAUGCUUUGCUCAGUCAGAUCUAUGUGGAUUAAAUCUUGAAUGAGGGAUUUCUGAGUAGAAAGAUUUUAUUUUUAGGUAAUCUCUGUACCCAAGGUGGGCUUGAAUUCACAACCUCAAGAUCAGGAGUUGCAUGCUCCCCUGAGCCAGCCAGGCACCCCUAGAUGUUAUAAUCGUCACAUAACCAAUAGUGAGUGACUAAGUAAACCAAUUUAAACCAAUUUACUACUAAGCAAUACUGGGCAUUAUUUAGAUCUGAUAUGAUUACUAUAAAGUAAAAUAUG